GUAACAUUGCAACAUUUCGGAACCAAAUAUAUCACUCAAACUUGGAAACACAUGCUGUUACUUGUUACGAUCAAAAAGGUAAACCACAAUGGACAUUCAAAAAUUACAGCCUUCUGAAAGAUCCUCGUGGUAUUGAUGUAGAUAUUGAUGGCAAUGUAUAUGUGGCGGGGUUUGGUUCGAACAAUGUUGUAGCUAUUUCCCUUGACGGACAACGCCAUAGAGAAGUAUUGGCAGCAAGUGAUGGUCUUUUUUUUCCUUGUUCAGUUUGUUUUGAUAAUUCAAAGAAGCAGUUGCUAGUGGCUAACUGAUAUAGUGAGGCACACUUGUUUACAUUUAUUUGAAUUUUUAAAAUAUAGUAUUGUUUGUUUUAAAUCUGUCCCUCACAGCUACUCUUUCUUUUGGAUAUCUUAUUUGAAAUUAAAAAUAAAUUACAUUAUUGAAAUAUCUUUCUUAAUUUAAACCUUAUUUGGGCGAGUGAUAUGUUUCCAUAUUGAAAAAUAUUAUUAUCAGAUAAUUAAUUUGUUAUAACUAUAUAUGGAGAUAUUAGUUGGCAUAUCUUACAUCAAUGUUAUAACUUAAAUGAUGUUAACAAAACUUGUUUGCUGAUACAAGCACUCUUGUUCUGAUCAGAAAGUGCAAAAGGAAUUUUGCCUUUUUAUAUUGAUUAUUGAAAAAAUAAUUAUGCUUAAUUUAACGCGGAAAAAAGGUAUCUGAUACAUCAAUUUUCAUUCUACAAUCAGUGCAUUAACUAUGAUAUAUUGCAAUAUAUUCAACCUUCGUAUUUAAAGUACCACAGGAAAGGGUUUGUUGGUUAGGCCAAGAGAAGUUAUACAUUCAAAGCAACCUAGAGAAGACCUACAAAUAUUUCUACACGCAGCUUUGAAUUAAUGUCUCGAUUUCUAGAAUGGACAUGGGUGCAUAUAUAUUUAUUCAUCGCCCAUUGCCAAAAGCGAACACUCCUCUGUAGCAUGGAUUUUAGUGCAGGAUGGUAUGAUUUAUAAUUAACUAUUUAGAAAUGAAUCGAAUCUUUAGUUACAUGUUAUCACGUUUGCUUACUUCGAAUAAAGUUUGAUAGUAUUGAAUUAAAUCAGUAUUGUUCGUACUUACUGAACCUGACAGCAUAACCACAUUCGUGUAAAAUUUAGACAGUGUGAAUUGUUAGUGCGUAAGGUUACACAUUUAAAAUUGUGCUCUUGAUUGACAUAAAAAAGAUUCAACUUCUUAUACGGUAAGUGUUGUGUUCAUUGGUGACUUGCUACUGUUUAUACUGAUAAACUACUGUUUCUUUGUUAACUGAUGGACACUUUUGUCAUAAGCACUUUGAUUACUAGUACCUCCCAUUGCUUUUAUCUUCAUAAUGAUCUAAUUUUAUAAUUAUAAACAUUAUGAAAUGAAUUAUGAUUACCAACGAAACAACUAUCCACCAGAGAUCAAAUGUCGUCGAUCUUAGCAACUAUAGGUUACCUUACGUUCGCACAAUCAGCAAAAUCCAUACUAUAUAGUAAGCUAUGAAUGACACGAAAUGACAAAUGUUAAACAAGAAAGGAAACGGCCAUCUGUUCACCCCCUCCUUACCUAGGACAGGGGAAUAUGAAUCAGCUGUUAAAGGGGUCGACUCGUUAGAUCGGCACGAUCAACAAAAGGAACACCAACAAACACAACGCACUUAUCAUGUUUUAAAAGAAAACUUUUCAAAUACAUUUAAUAAAUGUUAUCAAUGAAAUAUUAUUAUUGAUACAACACUACAGACUGUACAGAAAUAUGAAUUCGCAGACAAUCCAGUAAAUUGUUGGCAAGAGAUUGAACAAGGUAAAACACUGCAUAUCUGCAAUAGAAGAGUUGAUAAACUACCUCUCAAUGCAGAAAUUUUAGCAUGAACUCUAAGACUUAGUGUUACCGAUAUAUAUGCUUAUCUAACUGAAUAUUUACAUUUAAAGUUUUUGUUAUCAUUAACUUUACCUCCCUUUUAAAGGUAUAGAUUGUGCAAAAGAAGUGAUAACGAAAUUAUUACUUUAAUAACGAAAUGUAGUUUCAUUGAUAUUCUUAGUUGAAAAACGCGUUGCAGGGGACAUAGAAACAACAGGGGUGGGUCCCUCCUUUUAACUUCCCACGGGUAUGUGUGUCCGUCUGUCUGAUCUUGUUAGCGCUCUUAUCUAUGAUGAGUUUUUUAUAACCACUGGGUCGACGCCUCUGCUGGUGGAGUUUUAAUUCCCCGAGGGUAUCACCAGCCCAGUAGUCAGCACUUCUGUCUUGUCUACAGUUAGCAUUGAUAUAUUCAUAAUUAUAAAUGAACUGUUAACAAAACUUUCAAUUUCUAAAAUACUAAUGCUUUUCUUUCUCAGAAAUAUAUUACCUUAGCUGUAUUUGGCAAAACUUUAAGUAAUUUUUGGUCCUCAAUGCUCUUCAACUUCAUACUUUAUUUGGCCUUUUAAACAUUUUUUUAUGCGAGGGUCACUGAUGAGUCUUUUGCAGACGAAACGACCGUCUGGCGUAAAUAUAAAAUUUCAAUCCUGGUAUGUAUGAUGAGUUUAUUUACAUAUACAAUCCUUGUAAGAUUUUUAUAACAUAUAUAUCAUAUGUAUCAGCAGUCUCUCAGACAAGUUGACAAUCAGUGCCAAUCAAUAUGUUUUAAAGGGUGAAGCCCCUGGUAAGGGGCAUUGACCUAAUUGUUGUUAUCUGAAUUCAUGCUCUGUAAAAACAAUUACAUACGUAUUUGAUUGCAACAUAUGCGCAUGUUGACAAUAUAUGUCUCAUCAGUGAAUCUCUAACCUUAAAUGGACGAUUGACAAAACCAAUAGACUUAAUUGAUGGUUCCUGAUAAAAUAAAAAAGUUAUGAGAAACCGGCUUACAGUUUAUCUACUUUAACUGUAAGAUAACCUCACGUCUUAAAGUUUUAGCUCUUCAUCUUUUAUAUAAGCUUUGGGUUUCAAAUAUUUUGGCCACGAGCAUCAAUUAAGAGACAUGCAUGUAUUGUCGAUAUCCGCAUCUGGUGCAAGAAAAUUGGUACCGUUAAUGUUAUUAAAUCUUAGUAUAUUUAGAUGAUAUUUAGUUUUUACUGGUCUAAAAAACUGAAAACAAAUAUUUAUUCACUUCGCGCAUCCAAAGCGACUUUCUGGAUUUGUCUUCUUAAUGACGCUUAAAACCCAAGAUUUCAGUGCUUUUUUCAAAUAAAGGAUAUACAAAAUUGUCAGAUUAUAUAAUGAUUAUACAAAGUAUCAUGGAUAAAAAAACGUGUUUUAAUUAUAUUCUGAGCAAAAAAAGUUUAGCAACAAAAAUCUGAAAUUUUAUUUCAUUACAAAAUCAUAGCAACAUGUACUUUUAAUAAUAACAAAAUGGAAUUAUGACAUGUCAGAAGCAACAUGAAUAUUUAUCGAUCACAUUCAUGAUGAUUUUCUUUGUAUGGAGCGCGGGAGGUUCAAAAUGCGAAAAUGAGUAUAGUUUUAUUCAAAUCAAUUUCUCAGCCAUGCCCUAAGUGUACCAAUGAAGGAUUUGCAGGCACACCAGCAGCUGCCCUUAUUCAAUGCACUAGUUUUGUGGCUGGAAAAAAAUUGUCAAGCGUUGACGUAAAGCGAAGGUAGCGCUCCUCCCUUGACAACAGCUUUUUUGGUCAACGAGAUAUCGACCCUUUCCUGUGCAGUUGCAAUUUGUCGAUAUUUGUUUGUUAGUCUCUAAACUGUUGCCUUAUGCACAUUAAAUCGAGUCACGAUGUCAGCAAAACUCAUUCCGGCAUCAAACAUUCCAAGAGCUUUCUGGCGAUCAUUUUCGGGGAGGCCUGGUUGACGCCCCAUGCAAUUUCUUCAAAGGUGUAUGUGUUUUUCUUACUAAUGGUGUGUUUCAAAAGUACAGGUACAGAAGGUAAAAAAUCAAUUACACGUGCAAAGCUGAAAUGGAGCGAAAUCAAUCUCCAGGAAAAAAGUACGACUGUUUUAGAUUACAGGUAAAACUAAGGACUAUAUCAAUGAUGUUUAAAUACAUUUUUUCCAGAAAAAAAAAAACAAAUUUGAAAAAAAAGUGUUGCAUAACUUUUUUGGCUCAUUAUAUAUCAAAUUAUGAUAGCUUAUGUGAGGUUUUGGAAUUUGUGUCAAAUGUUUGGACUCCUUGGUGUUUUUCUACAUUCCUUUCUGAAAAUUAUCUAUACCAUGACAUAACAGUUUUAAAUUUUUAAUCAUUUGAAACAGUUUUUGUUUUGAUUAGGUUGUUGCCAAUCGAAAGACUCUUUACUUUCAACUCCAUUUUAAUGUCAAAUUCGAUUUCUGCAUCACAUUUGUUACUUUAAUCAAAUUUUCAAUAGAAAAAAAGGUCAAGACCUGUUCUUAAUAUUUUAUUUCAAAGUAGACGGGUCUAGUGUUAAAAGAAACAAAAACCUGCGAUAAAAAAAAUGACGGUUAUGAAAUCGGUUUUCAUUUCAUUGGUAAUUUCGGUUUUUAUUGUAACAUUCAAAAAAUUAUAAAACGACAUCGAUGUUUACACACUUUUAGCAUCUCGUGUCACCUUGCAUGUUACAUUUAUUUUUGAAAAUAAUGUUGAUUUCAGAAUGACAAAAGACUGCUGUUACAAAAUCAAAAUUAUUGCUUCCGAUGUAUAAUAUCACAGUUAUCUUUCUUUACCUAUAACUGUCUUGCGAAGUUGCUUUAUUGUUUAAUGAUAGAUCAGAUAUUAAUCCAAUUAAUACAGCAGAUUUAGUUCAUUCAUAUAAUAAGAUAGAAGGAGAGUAGUGCAAUGAGGCAAGAUUUGUGGAUCAAUAAGAUAUGGUAAGACUUGAAAAUCAUGACAACAUACAAUUCAAUACCCAGGAGAAAAGACACAAUAUAUCUGUAUCUGUAUUUAACUAGAUUAAACUGGUAAAACAAAUAUUAGACUUUCAUGAUUUUCAUUGCUGACAAAAAAAAUAUACACCGCAGACAAACGAAAAACAAGAGCUCUCAAAAAUAGAAUAAAAUAACUAUUUCAACACAUUUAUUUAAAUCUCUACAGUAUUAGAUCACUGACAAAAUUCGUUUGUAAAAUAUAAUUGCUAUAUGUGAUUUCAUAUCAUAAAGCUUGGUUUGUAUAAAAAGACAAAAAAGAGAUAUGAUAAUUGUAGUAAUUACAUUUAUACAUUAAAUGCAAAUUUAAAUAUUCCCGCCAGAUAAAAGUUUCUUUAACGAUCACGUGACCAAAUACCACCCUAGUUGAAAUACCAUCCGGUGCGUAUUUACCAAGGUAACAAACAUAUUUUCUUAACGUUUAUAAGAAUAAUUAUGCAAACAAAUGCAAGUAGACAUUUAAAAUGAUUUAUUUGUAAAUAUUCACAGUCCUACAUGUAACUAUUUACCUUUAAAAGUAUCUACUUUCGUUUUUGUAAUGUCAGCUGUCUGUGGUGUGUUAUCAUUAUUUUGUUUGUUCUUUCAUAUUUGGGAUACAAUUGAAAAAAGGAAAUACAUUAGUCUUCGUUUGUGUUGUUUUACAUUUGGUCAUGUUGGUUCUUUUGUAGAUUACUUCAUGAUAUGGAUUUAUGCAUUGUUGCAUAUCAUACGAUGACGCGUAUGUCAUUUGAUAUCUUGUGGAUCAUUAAUAGAGGGUGGUAAAGGGUUAUUUUCGUGCAACGUGAUCGCCGUUUUUUAUUUCACGUUCAACGUGUUUUUACUUUUUUAUUUGACGUUCAGUCGUGCAAGACGGGUGCCUCGUUCAACGUGUUCUUAUUUAAUUUUACGUGCAUCGUGAUUUUCAAAGUCUUAUUUUGUGUGCUCGGUAUUUUUCAAAUAAAAUUCAAACACUUGUCAGAGAUCUUCAAGAAAUACUUUUUUAAACGCCGUAAACCAAGUAUAACAUUAAUGUGUAUACUAAAUCGGGAAAAUCAAGUAAAACAAAGAGUUAAUAUAUACAAGAAGACAGUGAUUCAGUCAUAAAAGGCUCUCAUAAAAGUAUUUAUUUUUCGUGCAACGUUCAUUACAGAAAUUAUUUCACGUUCAACGUUAAAUUAUGUCUUAUUUCCCGUUUUUUUUUUCGUGCAAGCAAACCCCCUUUACCACCCUCUUAAUUUUUACAUUGAUAAUUUCUUUGUUUAUGUCUUAUUCAAGAUAUCUUCACCAGGAACACUAGAAGUUUGUAAGUGUAAAUGUACAUAAACAAGUACGAGAAAUAUUGUUCAAAGGGACAUAAUUAGGCAAAAUCCAUCAAAUAUAUUAUAAGCCAUAUAAUAUUUGAGUUUGGCAUCUUAUACUCAUUCUGAUUAAGAAAGAAGGUAUGAACGAAGUUGCAAUUCAAAAAUUGUUAUAAUUAUUCCAGGCUAUGAAAACAAUGUUGAUUAAAUAAAUAAAUGAACAGGUUAAAGCUGGACACUUAAGUGCAGAAAGGAUCCUCUGGUUUGAUAAAUACUUCAACUUAUUAAAUAAAUGCACUUUACAUAUUUAUGAUAUAGUUCCUAAAAACAUAUGCGAGCAAAGGCUUUAUACAAAAAUCUGUUUUACACAAAUUAACAUUUUAUUUAAUACAAUUGGUUACAAAAAUGAUUUUGGUAGAUGCCCCUGAUCCACUAUAAAUACUUUGGAAAUAUCUCUACAAACUAUCGACUAUUUCGGGAUUUUUUGAAAGAUUGUUUUUAACAAAGAAUUUUACAGCCUGAUAACAAUGCAAAUAGGUCUGACAGAAUACAAAACUAUCAUUACAAUUGAUUGUAAGCCUAAUGUCUAACAAACAAUUGUUGCAUGCUAUUUAGUACAUGUAGUUUUUAUGCCCCACCUACGAUAGUAGAGGGGCAUUAUGUUUUCUGGUCUGUGGCUCCGUUCGUCUGUGCGUCCGUCCGUUCAGGUUAACGUUUUUGGUCAAGGUAGUUUUUGAUGAAGCUGAAGUCCAAUCAACUUGAAACUUAGUAGACUUGUUGCUUAUGAUAUGAUCUUUCUAAUUUUCAAGCCAAAUUAGACUUUUGACCCCAAUUUCACGGUCCACUGAACAUAGAAAAUGAAAGUGGUAGUUUCAGGUGAAAGUUUUUGGUCAAGAUAGUUUUUGAUAAAAUUGAAGUCCAAUCAACUUGAAACUUAGUACAUAUGUUCCCUAUAGUAUAAUCUUUCUAAUUUUACUACCAAAUUAAAUUAUUACCCAAUUAUACGGUCCAUGAAACAUGGAAAAGGAUAGUGCGAGUGGGGCAUCCGUGUACUUUGGACACAUUCUUGUUAAUUCUUUUUUAUUUUCGAAUUCAAGUGCACAAAAUGUUACCGUCUCCUUUAUCUACAUAUUGACAAAUAUUUUCAACAAAACAAAAUAAUUUGGGAACUUGUAUAAAAAAGUUAUUUUGUAGACCGGGAAAGGUCUUCUGAACAAUAGCCUUAUUUAUAUUUGAUUUGAUAUUAUCUUGCAGUUUUGUGAUAUGGCCUCAUCCUCCCAAAGUUGUGGUGUGUGUGACCUCCGACACAUCAACAAACCAUCAAUAAUCUGGUGUACGGAAUGUGAUGAAGGACUUUGUCAAGAAUGUCAGGAACACCAUAGUUUAUCCACAGGAACCAGAAACCAUAACACCAUAACAAUAAAGGAAUAUAAAACAUUACCAAGUGAAGUACUUAAAAUCACUCAAUACUGUAGCACACACCAUGACAAAUUUAUAAUGUAUUGUGGGACACACGAACGUCCCUGCUGCAGAAAAUGUAUAGUUGAAACUCAUAAAGAAUGCCUGGAUAUCGAUAAUUUAGAAGACGUCAUUAAAAAUGUAAAAAGCUCAAAUGCCUUCCACGAUAUUGAAGAAACAUUGACUGAAGUAGCAGAAAAUUUUAAGAAAAUCAGUCAACAUCAGCAAAAGAAUCUGUUGAAUUUGAAAGAAAAAAGAAAACAAAUUGAAAAAGAAAUUCAAAAGACCCGUACAACAAUCAACAACCAUCUGGACAAAUUACAAGGAGAUUUGAUAAAACAACUUAAUUCUAUUGAAGAAACCCAGAACUCGAAAAUUUGUCAGUUGUUGUCAUCGCUUGAACAGAGAGAAAAAGAAAUAACCAAAUACCAGCAAAACCUUGUAAGCAUUAAACAACACGCCUCAGACCUUCAGAUUUUUCUUUCACUUAAGCAAAUCGAACAAGACAUUAAUAUAAAUGAUAAAUUCCUACAAUCCGUAGUGGAAGGUGAGGAAUUGAAGCAAUGUCAUCUAGAAUAUAGAACCAACAUUGCUAUUCAAGAUAUCAUGUCCAAUAUCAAACGUUUUGGAGAAGUACAGAUUGAAACUAAACCAUAUGAAAUCGUUCUCAGCAGAAAGAAGACUACACAAGCACAGAUAAUGAUACCAAACGUUCAAACAAGAUCCAUUGAGAAUAUAAAGCUGGAGAUGCACAAAACAGCAAUAGAAACUAAUGGAAGAUGCGUCUACGGGUGUUGCCUGAUAUCAGAUGGUAGAAUGGCUUUUACUUACUACCAUGAUUGUGCAGUUAGAGUUUUCAGUGAUAAAGGAUUAAAAGACUUUGAGGUGAAGAUGCCGUGUAAAGUAGCCGAUAUACUGUAUAUUAGUAAGGACAAUACAUUAGUCGUAACAUCUGGUGGUUCACGUCAGCAUUGUAUUUUUAUUAUAAACGUGGAAAAAAACAAAUCACAAGAACAAUUUCACUAGAUUCGGAAAUUGCUGGUAUAGCACUUAGAGAAAAUGAAUUAAUAUAUUCGGGUCAUUGUAAAGGAAUACGAAUGAUUAAUCUUUUAGACGAGUCAAUUACUCAAAUAGUCAAGGUGAAAUGCCAGAUUGUUGUUACAUUGCAACAUUUCGGAACCAAAUAUAUCACACAACCUCGGUAACACAUACCGUUACUUGUUACGAUCAACAAGGUAAACCGCAAUGGACAUUCAAAAAUAAAAGCGUUCUGAAGUAUCCUCGUGGUAUUGAUGUAGAUAUGGAUGGUAAUGUGUAUGUGGUGGGGUUCAGGUCGAACAAUGUUGUAGUUGUCUCCCCUGACGGACAACACCAUCG
RNAcentral lists this long non-coding RNA (8918 nucleotides) under Mytilus galloprovincialis (Mediterranean mussel). Lineage: Eukaryota; Metazoa; Mollusca; Bivalvia; Mytilida; Mytilidae. The record is from RNAcentral.